AAUUCACCAUUCCCUGUCUUUGUGCCAAUGGAUGGCGGGAGAAGAACAGGUGCCACUGGCACUGUCCUAAGUGUCAGGAGGUUUUUCCCCGUACCAAUGUCUUUAAGAGACACCUUUCCCAUCACGGUUUGUACAAAUUGAUGGCCUGACAAGAAGCACAAAUUCUUCAGUAAGCCUCCCCACUACUGAGAUUAGGAAAGCAUUCCAUCAUUCCAGCGCAUUGAGGGAGUAUGAGUACUCCUAUUCCUGUGUCAGAUGUGGCCACAGCCCUCCUGUUCUCAUUGCUGAUGCCAAUUGGGAGGUUGCGUUUGAUUUGCCAGUUCACCUCUUUAAGCGUCCAAACAAGGACAACAUUACCUCUGAGGACACCGAAGUAAAUGUGCCCGAUAGAUGGCAGACCCUUGAGAAACGCAUGGUGGCCUCAGGUUUUUGUUGCUCCGGAGGUUGCCAAUCCAUACGGCAGUUCCCUUUCAUACUCCACCUUCACUCCAUGGCUUGGCGAGAAUGUCAGAGUGAGCGAUGUUGUCCCAAAGACAGAAAUGCUGAAAGGUUUGUCUCAAAAGAACCGGACAUCCACUUCAGGGGCAGCCACUGACAUAGAUGAGGACACCACUGAAAGUGUUGGAAUC
Molecule: long non-coding RNA, 629 nt
Organism: Alosa sapidissima (American shad)
Lineage: Eukaryota; Metazoa; Chordata; Actinopteri; Clupeiformes; Clupeidae
Exons: 4
Source: RefSeq, a predicted model, not a curated record